GUCCGAUGACACUUCAACUAGCUGUAUCCACUUUGCCCUUUCUCUUUCCCCAAACCCCGCACCGCAUCCCCCCGAACUCCCGAAGGCCCUUGACUGUCUGGAACAGCGCCAUCAGCUGGAUCGGUCCUCGAUCCCGUGACACCCAUGGGCGCCUCCACUCCUCGCCACCAUCCCAGCUCCCCCUUCCAGCGAUCCCUCCUCUCCAAGCGGAUCAUCACCUUGGCUCUAUACGCCCUGGUCCCGCUCGCCCUCCUCCACUACCUCCUCUCCUUCCCUCCCAUUCCAGCCCCAACCACCUCCUCCCCGCCACCGCCCAAAGUUGCUGCCGCCGCCGGCGGAGCAGCAAGAAAGAUCGCGGCGCCAAGGUGCGACUACUCGGAUGGGGCGUGGGAGCGGAGCGAGGCGGGCCCGCUGUACAACGGCACGAGCUGCGGCGAGACGAUCAAGGCCGCCCAGAACUGCGAGGCGCACGGGCGGCCCGACACGGGGUACCUCCGGUGGCGGUGGCGGCCGCGCGGGUGUGCGCUCCCGCCGUUCGACCCCGCCGAGUUCCUGCGCCUCGUCCGCGGCCGCCACGUCGCCUUCGUGGGCGACUCGCUCGCGCGGAACCAGUGCGAGUCCCUCGUGUGCCUGCUCAGCUCCGCGUUCCCGGCCCAGCUCGUGCGCGGCGCCGGCGGAGGCGACGGGGAUGGGGACGGCGACGAGCUCCGCAAGUUCCGGCGCUGGGUGUUCCCGUCGCACAACGCCACGGUGUCCGUGUUCUGGUCUCCGUUCCUGGUGAACGGCACGGAGAAGGCCAAGGGAGCGGCGGUGGGGCUGGACCACAACCGGCUGUACCUGGACCAGCCGAACGAGCGGUGGGCGGCGGAGGUGCCCGGCAUCGACGUGGUGGUGCUCUCCGCGGGGCACUGGUUCCUGCACUCGGCCCUCUUCUACGACCGCGGUGCCGUGGUCGGGUGCCACCACUGCCCGGAGCCCAACCGCACGGAGACGGGCUUCUUCGGCGCGUUCCGCCUCGCCGUCCGCGGCGCGCUGCGCGAGGUCGUCCUCCGCGGCGCCAGGGCGCGGCGCCAGGGUCGCAGGCCGAAGCUGGCCGUGCUGACCACGUUCUCGCCCGCGCACUUCGAGGGGGACUGGGACAGCCCCACCGCGUGCGCGCGCACCGUGCCGUACGCGCCCGGGGAGCGGGCGAUGGAGUACAUGGACGGCGAGAUGCUCCGCGCCGAGGCCGAGGAGGCGGCCGCGGCCGCGGCGGACGCGCGGGCGCGCCGGGCCGGCGUGACGGUGGAGACGCUGCAGGUGACGCGGAUGGCCGGGCUGCGCGCGGACGGCCACCCGGGAGCGUACAUGCACCCGUUCCCGUUCGCCGGCGGCGCGAGGGAGCGGGUGCCCAACGAUUGCGUGCACUGGUGCCUGCCGGGGCCCAUCGACACGUGGAACGAGAUACUGCUGCAGCUCGUCAAGCGGUGGGCGGACGGGGUCGACGCCGACGCCCUGUCCUCGUCGUCGCCAUGAAAGAUGGAAGCUACCGUCGGCGUCACCGCAAGAGGAGUCUGGAUUUGGGAGUUUGGUUCAAAUUAGUACUAUAGACUUGUUCGAACUAGAAUGUUUAGACCUUAAUUAUUUAGAGAGAUUCCAAGUCGAAACGGCAUCGCUACGAGGGUUUGACCAGGAAGUGUUACGAUGUUCUAACAAGUUGUUCUUGGACGGUUUUUGUUGUUCUCAUGCGCUUGUAGUAUUGUACUACAUCCAUUUUAAUUUAUAAUUUGUUUAACCCUUUUAUCUUAAGUGUAACCGAC
RNAcentral lists this unclassified non-coding RNA (1799 nucleotides) under Zea mays. Its description in RNAcentral is "misc RNA Zm00001eb098800". The record is from RNAcentral. Lineage: Eukaryota; Viridiplantae; Streptophyta; Magnoliopsida; Poales; Poaceae.